This 24-nucleotide microRNA is filed under the name Ananas comosus (pineapple). RNAcentral's name for it is "microRNA s0237_c086". The record is from RNAcentral. Lineage: Eukaryota; Viridiplantae; Streptophyta; Magnoliopsida; Poales; Bromeliaceae.
GGGGGGUUUUUAAAGUUUUCCCUA